RNAcentral lists this ribosomal RNA (253 nucleotides) under uncultured prokaryote. RNAcentral's name for it is "partial 16S ribosomal RNA". It matches the Rfam family "Bacterial small subunit ribosomal RNA", at positions 524 to 776 of the family's 1533-position model. The record is from RNAcentral.
GACGUAGGGCGCAAGCGUUGUCCGGAUUUAUUGGGCGUAAAGAGCUCGUAGGCGGCUUGUUGCGUCGACCGUGAAAACCCGUGGCUCAACUGCGGGCUUGCGGUCGAUACGGGCGGGCUAGAGUUCGGUAGGGGAGACUGGAAUUCCUGGUGUAGCGGUGAAAUGCGUAGAGAUCGGGAGGAACAUCAGUGGCGAAGGCGACUUUCUGGCCUAUAACUGACGCUGAGGCGCGAAAGCGUGGGGAGCAAACAGG